RNAcentral lists this long non-coding RNA (676 nucleotides) under Vulpes vulpes (red fox). RNAcentral's name for it is "lncRNA (ENSVVUG00000019692.1)". Lineage: Eukaryota; Metazoa; Chordata; Mammalia; Carnivora; Canidae. The record is from RNAcentral.
UCAGCAUUUAGAAUUUGUUUCUGUUUGUAAGGUUUAGAAAGCUUUGUUAAGCUAUAUGGAGAUAUCCUAGCUGAUAAAUUUGGAAUCCUAGAAUCCUAGGGAAUUCAGAAUUUGCAUUCGAUUUCAAAAUAUCUUCUUAAAAAUAAUAUUUCACAUAUAAUGUGAUGUGAAAUUAACUCUAUUAUGAGGCUGUUUCCUUUUUUAUGUUGGCUGGACUCUUCUCAUUAAUGGUUUAUCCCCCUACUUCUAAUGUUAAGUGGAUUUGUGCCUUUAGCAGAGCCCUGUGUUUUAGGGGGCAGACUUCUGUUUUGUAUUCUCCUCUUACCUAUUCAAGGCAUCAAAGGCAGGCAAUUUCCAGGAAUAUGUGGGGUAACUUCAAAUAGAUUCUAAGAAUCAUGGAAGGUUCUAGAACUUUGAAUCUCAACUAUGAAUCUGGAAGAUAAAUGCUUAUAAAUAGAGACAUGUUAGAGUGUGGGGCUGCUACAUUCCCUCAAUGGAUCACAGAGUUAAACACAAGGCAGGGCUACCUUCCAAGACUGUCCACCUGGAGACAUGCAGUCAGAGGUCUGCCUUAAUGGCUAGUAGAGAAGAGGCCUGGUGCAGCCACCAGGGGGAGCCCGUCAGGAGGAACUCUCAGGAUGCUAUGGGCCUCCAAGGCUCAGAAGAAAAACAUUGA